This 650-nucleotide long non-coding RNA is filed under the name Rattus norvegicus (Norway rat). RNAcentral's name for it is "long non-coding RNA NONRATT020974". Lineage: Eukaryota; Metazoa; Chordata; Mammalia; Rodentia; Muridae. The record is from RNAcentral.
CUGUGAUCUUUGAGGGUACCUGCAGUCACAUGCACAUAGACAUAUAGAAACACACACAAAAUUAAAAAUUUUUAAAAAAUGCAUCCCACAUGGCAAAAGAUAUUCUUGGCCAUAACUACAUUUUGGGCAUAGUGUCCAACAACGGUGUUUUCAACUUGUGAAUCACUACAAGUCAGAGCUGUGGUACAAGCAAACGGUUUGUGUCUAAGAAGGUAAAGUUACUGGAGCUGGGGCAUGCAGCUUGAUUCGAACAGUGCCUGCACAGUGCCUUCCAAUCUGCCUAGCACGUACGUACACAACCCUAGGUUAGAACUCCAGAACUUCACAAAAUGUGUGUGAUGGCACAUAUCUAUAAUCCCAGCACUUGGGCGGUGAAGGUAGGUGAGACAGUUGCUCUGAGGCUAGCCUGGAAUACAUGGGAUCUUGUAUCACACAAGAGGGAAAAAAAAAAGGGAGCAAUUUCUCUCCCAGAAAUUCCCCAUCCCCAAGUGAUUUUGCUUUCACUAAAAGGCUAUGAAGAUAGACUUCAACCCUAUUUUUUCCAUCUGUCAGUAACAACAAAAUCAUCAGUGUGGUCAGAUCAGUCUCAUACCUUUGAUUGGCUUUGGGAAGCCUUCAUAAUCAAUGCCUGCUUUAAAAAAAAAAAAAAA